This 709-nucleotide ribosomal RNA is filed under the name Klebsiella pneumoniae. Its description in RNAcentral is "bacterial SSU rRNA". It matches the Rfam family "Bacterial small subunit ribosomal RNA", at positions 797 to 1504 of the family's 1533-position model. The record is from RNAcentral. Lineage: Bacteria; Pseudomonadati; Pseudomonadota; Gammaproteobacteria; Enterobacterales; Enterobacteriaceae.
AACCCCUAAAAUGUUCCAUUUGGGGGGGGGGAGCGCUUGAGGCGUGGCUUGCCGGAGCUAACGCGUUAAAUCGACCGCCUGGGGAGUACGGCCGCAAGGUUAAAACUCAAAUGAAUUGACGGGGGCCCGCACAAGCGGUGGAGCAUGUGGUUUAAUUCGAUGCAACGCGAAGAACCUUACCUGGUCUUGACAUCCACAGAACUUUCCAGAGAUGGAUUGGUGCCUUCGGGAACUGUGAGACAGGUGCUGCAUGGCUGUCGUCAGCUCGUGUUGUGAAAUGUUGGGUUAAGUCCCGCAACGAGCGCAACCCUUAUCCUUUGUUGCCAGCGGUCCGGCCGGGAACUCAAAGGAGACUGCCAGUGAUAAACUGGAGGAAGGUGGGGAUGACGUCAAGUCAUCAUGGCCCUUACGACCAGGGCUACACACGUGCUACAAUGGCAUAUACAAAGAGAAGCGACCUCGCGAGAGCAAGCGGACCUCAUAAAGUAUGUCGUAGUCCGGAUUGGAGUCUGCAACUCGACUCCAUGAAGUCGGAAUCGCUAGUAAUCGUAGAUCAGAAUGCUACGGUGAAUACGUUCCCGGGCCUUGUACACACCGCCCGUCACACCAUGGGAGUGGGUUGCAAAAGAAGUAGGUAGCUUAACCUUCGGGAGGGCGCUUACCACUUUGUGAUUCAUGACUGGGGUGAAGUCGUAACAAGGGUAACGGA